Molecule: signal recognition particle RNA, 265 nt
Filed under: Caldifarciminota bacterium
Lineage: Bacteria; Pseudomonadati; Caldifarciminota
Description: candidate division WOR-3 bacterium (hot springs metagenome) signal recognition particle sRNA large type
Rfam family: Bacterial large signal recognition particle RNA
About the family: The signal recognition particle (SRP) is a universally conserved ribonucleoprotein involved in the co-translational targeting of proteins to membranes. Archaeal SRP consists of a 7S RNA and homologues of the eukaryotic SRP19 and SRP54 proteins.
Source: RNAcentral
CCAUACUCAGGCGGGGAGCUAGCGGUGCCCUGAACCUGAAAUCCGCUAUACGCAGGGCCAAAAGCCCUGAUUGAGGCUUUGAAUUGUUAUUAUGGGUCUCUGCGGAAUGCGAUGAAGGUUGGGUCCACCAGAAGGAUUUUUCUUGAACCCCGUCAGGUCCGGAAGGAAGCAGCGGUAAGAGAUAAAAUCCUUGUUGGUGGGGUGCCUGACUGGAGCAGGAAACAGAGAUACCGAUAACGAUGAGAAGUCGAAACAGGGUGUAUGG